GAUGAAGAACGUAGCGAAAUGCGAUAAGUAGUGUGAAUUGCAGAAUUCAGUGAAUCAUCGAAUCUUUGAACGCACAUUGCGCCCUUUGGUAUUCCUUAGGGCAUGCCUGUUCGAGCGUCAUUUAAACCUUCAAGCUCAGCUUGGUGUUGGGUGACUGUCCGCCGCCUCCGGGCGGUCGGACUCGCCUCAAAUUGAUUGGCGGCCGGUACUUUGGCUUCGAGCGCAGCAGAAACGCGAACUCGAGGCCGUCGUCCUGGCUCCCAGAAGCUAUCUUCACAAUUUUGACCUCGGAUCAGGUAGGGAUACCCGCUGAACUUAAGCAUAUCAAUAGCGGAGGA
This 338-nucleotide unclassified non-coding RNA is filed under the name soil metagenome. RNAcentral's name for it is "partial contains 5.8S ribosomal RNA, internal transcribed spacer 2, and large subunit ribosomal RNA". The stretch from base 1 to 120 matches the Rfam family "5.8S ribosomal RNA", at positions 35 to 154 of the family's 154-position model. The record is from RNAcentral.